This 262-nucleotide ribosomal RNA is filed under the name uncultured bacterium. RNAcentral describes it as "partial 16S ribosomal RNA". It matches the Rfam family "Bacterial small subunit ribosomal RNA", at positions 1241 to 1500 of the family's 1533-position model. The record is from RNAcentral.
AAAGAGAAGCGAGACGGAGACGUUAAGCGAAACCCAAAAAAGUAAGUNUCAGUUCGGAUUGAAGGCUGAAAUUCGCCUUCAUGAAGCCGGAAUUGCUAGUAAUGGCAGGUCAGCAUACUGCCGUGAAUACGUUCCCGGGCCUUGUACACACCGCCCGUCACACCAUGGGAGUUUGUAACGCCCAAAGUCGGUGGCCUAACCUUUAUGGAGGGAGCCGCCUAAGGCGGGACAGAUGACUGGGGUGAAGUCGUAACAAGGUACC